GACGAACGCUGGCGGCGUGCUUAACACAUGCAAGUCGGACGGUUUGCGCUGGAAGGUUCGCUGGAAGGCGCAGAUAGUGGCGGACGGGUGAGUAACGCGUGGAUAAUCUGCCCGAGGAUUUGGGAUAACAUCUCGAAAGGGGUGCUAAUACCGAAUAAGCCCACGGGGUCUACGGAUCUUGCGGGAAAAGGGGGGACCUUCGGGCCUCCUGUCCUUGGAUGAGUCUGCGUACCAUUAGCUAGUUGGUGGGGUAAUGGCCUACCAAGGCGACGAUGGUUAGCUGGUCUGAGAGGAUGAUCAGCCACACUGGAACUGAGACACGGUCCAGACUCCUACGGGAGCAGCAG
Molecule: ribosomal RNA, 347 nt
Filed under: uncultured bacterium
Lineage: Bacteria
Description: bacterial SSU rRNA
Rfam family: Bacterial small subunit ribosomal RNA
Source: RNAcentral